This 501-nucleotide ribosomal RNA is filed under the name uncultured bacterium. RNAcentral describes it as "partial 16S ribosomal RNA". It matches the Rfam family "Bacterial small subunit ribosomal RNA", at positions 30 to 523 of the family's 1533-position model. The record is from RNAcentral.
AUUGAACGCUGGCGGCAGGCUUAACACAUGCAAGUCGAGCGGGGGAAGGUAGCUUGCUACCGGACCUAGCGGCGGACGGGUGAGUAAUGCUUAGGAAUCUGCCUAUUAGUGGGGGACAACAUCUCGAAAGGGAUGCUAAUACCGCAUACGUCCUACGGAAGAAAGCAGGGGAUCUUCGGACCUUGCGCUAAUAGAUGAGCCUAAGGCAGAUUAGCUAGUUGGUGGGGUAAAGGCCUACCAAGGCGACGAUCUGUAGCGGGUCUGAGAGGGUGACCCGCCACACUGGGACUGAGACACGGCCCAGAGUCCUACGGGAGGCAGCAGUGGGGAAUAUUGGACAAGGGGGGGAACCCUGUGCCAGCCAUGCCGCGUGUGUGAAGAAGGCAUUAUGGUUGUAAAGCACUUUAAGCGAGGAGGAGGCUACUUUAGUUAAUACCUAGAGAUAGUGGACGUUACUCGCAGAAUAAGCACCGGCUAACUCUGUGCCAGCAGCCGCGGUAA